CCUACGGGAGGCAGCAGUGAGGAAUAUUGGUCAAUGGGCGGGAGCCUGAACCAGCCAAGCCGCGUGAGGGAAGAAGGUCCUGUGUAUUGUAAACCUCUUUUGUCAGGGAACAAAGGCGGGGACUAGUCCCCGGAUGAAGGUAACUGAAUAAAAAGGCUCGGCUAAACUCGUUCCCGCCGCCGCGGUAAUACGGAGGAUGCCAGCGUUAUCCGGAUUUAUUGGGUUUAAAGGGUGCGUAGGCGGCCUGUUAAAUCAGCGGUAAAAGCCCGGGGCUCAACCCCGGCGAGCCGUUGAAACUGGCGGGCUUGAGUGGGCGAGAAGUAGGCGGAAUGCGCGGUGUAGCGGUGAAAUGCUUAGAUAUCGCGCAGAACCCCGAUUGCGAAGGCAGCGUACCGGCGCCAGACUGACGCUGAGGCACGAAAGCGUGGGUAUCGAACAGGAUUAGAUACCCUGGUAGUC
Molecule: ribosomal RNA, 459 nt
Filed under: uncultured bacterium
Lineage: Bacteria
Description: partial 16S ribosomal RNA
Rfam family: Bacterial small subunit ribosomal RNA
Source: RNAcentral